This 72-nucleotide transfer RNA is filed under the name Camelus ferus (Wild Bactrian camel). It matches the Rfam family "tRNA". Rfam says of the family: Transfer RNA (tRNA) molecules are approximately 80 nucleotides in length. Their secondary structure includes four short double-helical elements and three loops (D, anti-codon, and T loops). Further hydrogen bonds mediate the characteristic L-shaped molecular structure. tRNAs have two regions of fundamental functional importance: the anti-codon, which is responsible for specific mRNA codon recognition, and the 3' end, to which the tRNAs corresponding amino acid is attached (by aminoacyl-tRNA synthetases). tRNAs cope with the degeneracy of the genetic code in two manners: having more than one tRNA (with a specific anti-codon) for a particular amino acid; and 'wobble' base-pairing, i.e. permitting non-standard base-pairing at the 3rd anti-codon position. Lineage: Eukaryota; Metazoa; Chordata; Mammalia; Artiodactyla; Camelidae. The record is from Rfam by way of RNAcentral.
GUAGGUAGAGCUUAGUGGUAGAGCGCCUGCAAAGCAUGCACGAGGUCCUGGGUUCAAUCCCCAGUGCCCUCA